UGCCGCCAUUCCUUACUUUAAUUAAGAUAUAUCAGGACCAAAUUAUAUUGCAAAAUGUAGCGGUAACAUGCAAACAGAACAUGAUGAAGAGGAAAGACAAUUAAACUCGAGAUCAGAGUCACAGGUAGUAGACCAUGUUGCAGUUACUUAUCAGCUUUGUGGCUUCGGAGCAGUGACCUGAACCCACGUUAGCAAAAUGAUCAGUUUGGAAUAGAAGACUUGUAAGAUCCAUUUGAGCUCUCGAGUUUUCACUAUGGAAUCUCAAAGCCAAGAGUUACUCUUGCACCCAGUAUCACAGUGUUAAAACUUGUAAACUCAAAAUAAUUUAGAACAUAAUUCAGAAACUAAUAAUAAAAGGUAAAUGUAAAACUUGAUUAGUCUUAGUCCUUUAGAAUGAUGUCCCACAACAUGAACUCAGCCAGUAUCAAAGGCGUUCAAAGAUGCCUUUCAAUCCAUUUUGCCUCUAUUACGAAUGCUGCCAUGUGAGACAGAGACCCAAGGAUAAAAGCUGACAAGUAGUAGAGAACAGAAAAGCCCCAUAAAACAGAUGUUUUAAACAUGAAGCAGGUGUUGAUGUUUAUUUAUACCUGGCUGCUGCAUAGAUUGACAUUGUUAAAAUUUCAAAGUAGAGUUUCUUCCCCACAGACAAGGGACAAUGAAAACAAAUAGACAAGUCACAAAAGAAAUAAAAAUGGUGAACAAGCGUAUGGAAUAAUGUUCAACCUAACUAAUAAACAUGCAAAUUAAAUCAACAAGGAGGUACCAAUUUGUUUCCUUACCAAUUUUUUUUACUAGUGUAUAUUUCAGUGAUGACAAAGAUAUAGUGAAACUAUAUUCUCAUACAUCACUGGUAAGUGAUAGCAUAAAUUUGUACAGGUCUUUUGGAAAAUACGUGAUGAUAAGCAUAAAGAAUGAUUUAUAUAUUCAUGACCUUUGAUUCUGCAAUUUCACUAAGAACAGAGGACAAAGCAACAUGCAUGAAGAUGUUCACUGCAGAGAAAAAUUGGGAACAGCCUCUAAAAGUCCAAAAAUAGAUGAAAGAUUGUAAACUUUGUUGCAUCUACUCAAAUAUUAUAUAGCUUUGUAAAAAUGAUGUUCUCAGAGGCUAUUUAGUAACAUAAAAUGUUUAUGACUUGAGAAAUGUGGUAAACUAUCAGAUCAUAUAUAUAUAUCUUUGGCUUAUACAAUGUUUUUAAAAUUUUAAUUUAGUGAACAUUUUCAUACUGAGAAAAUUUACACAAAAAUAUGUUUGUUUGACUCUACUCAAAAAAUCAGAAUAACUGGCAAAACUGAGCCCUUGUACAUGACAAUUAUUUGCAGCUAAGUAAUAACCAUUCCCUUUAGGACAAAAAACAUAUAACCCCCUUUGAUCCACAGUCCCAAUCCAAUGACUCUUGGAAGCAUUGGAGUUCACAAUCCCUGACCUAAAUUUUAAAAUCAGGGUUUAAAAUUAUACAUAUAGGCCACGCACAGUGGCUCACACCUGUAAGCCCAGCACUUUGGAAGGCUGAGGUGGACAGAUCACCUUAGGUCAGGAGUUUGAGACCAGCCUGGCCAACAUGGUGAAACCCCGUCUCUACUGAAAAUACAAAAAUUAGCCAGGUGUGGUUGCAGGUGCCUGUAAUCCCAGCUACUUGGGAGGCUGAGGCAGGAGAAUUGCUUGAACCCGGGAGGCAGAGGUUGCAGUGAGCCGAGAUUGCGCCACUGCACUCCACCCUUGGCGACAGAGGGAGACUCCAUCUCAAAAAAAUAAUUAUUAUACAUAUAAAUUUUAAAUAUGCACAUAAAAAAGAAUGAAAUAUUCCAAAUUGCUAUGAAUGCUUGGUUGUCUUACAGUUCUGAUAUUAUAGUUGAUUCUUCUUUUUUUUUUUAAUUUUCUGCACUAAUCUUUUGUUUGGAAAAUGGGUUAGAAAUUAGAAAUUAGAAACCUGAGCCAAUGUGACCUGUCAGUAAAUAUCCAGUCUUUUGGUAAAUACCAGUCAUCUCCAGCAACAACAAAAAAAAAGAAAGUGAAGACCAUAUAUUUCUUUCCCCAUAAUCUUAUAACCAGGUGGCAUGUUACCAUGAAAGCAAGUGUUGGCCCAAAUUCUUCUAAAUGUACAACUCUUAUUGUUCAGAAAUUCUACCUUUGCUUCCUGUAAUCCCAAAUAAGUCCUCCUUUCUGUUCUCAGGCACAACAAUUGAAAUAAAAGUUUCAAUGAAACGGGAGCAAAGUUUCAUUCUUUGGCAGACACAACAAUAUUCCAAUAAUAAGAUCCGACAACAUAUUGUUAGGUGUGUGAACUAGACAGAUAAAAAACAAAUAGAGCUCUAGGCCUUGAGUACCGCUGGGUUUGACAGAUUUUUAGUAUCUUCUUCCUAGAAAAGGUGAUGGAAACCAGACAGAAAAGUAUUCCUAGUAUCCUUUACACAGCUUAAAAAACUUUUGGAUACAAAUUUUGAUGAAGAUAAUUGAAAUGAUUAAGCAACCAUCUUUAGAAAGUGGAUUCCUGAUUAGGAUACUUCAAAUGCUAACUAUAUGUCUCUAAAAUAUAUGAUAAAGUUCAGUUACACAUAUGCAUAUUUCACACUACUUAUGUCAAAAAUGUUUAAAAUAAAUUGUUGCAUAAAAACUACAGAUGUUGGCCGGGUGCAGUGGCUCACGCCUGUAAUCCCAACAAUUUGGGAAGCUGAGGCGGGUGAUUCACAAGGUCAGGAGAUCGAGACCAUCCUGGCUAGCACGGUGAAACCCCGUCUCUACUGGAAAAAAAAAAAAAAAUUAGCUGGGCGUGGUGGCAGGCGCCUGUGGUCCUAGUUACUCGGGAGGCUGAGGCAGAAUGAGUAAACCCGAUGUUGGUUUUUUAAAAAGUGAUGAUCUAUAGGCUUAAGCUUCUUCUAGCUAUUAUGUCAUAAUUUUAUUUUUGUAUUUCUAAUUCUAUUCUCUCCAAAUUGAUUAUCUUUACAUACUUAGAACAUAGGUGAGAAACAAUAUCAAAUAAAUCUCCUAUAGCUAAUAAGUGAUCAAACAAUGAGACUCAAGCUAAAAUCUGGUUGCCUGACUUAGUUCUCCACAACCCAGUGUUCUAAACCCAUAGGUUAAGUGACUUGAAAACUGGAUACCGAAAUGCCCAUCCAUAGUGUGUCAAAACAGAAGAUGGAAGAAUAUUCUAGAAGUUAAUAACACUUGCUGAAACAUUGUAAAUAGCAAGUUCAAAGUGGCUAGCUAUUUUCAUCCUGUAGGUGGUUGUGAUUUAGAAGUUAUGAGAGUAUACUCUCUUCACUGCAAAAUAUUUCUUGUGAUAUUAGUAAUAGAAAGUGAUCCGAGGAAAUGAAUAAAUACAUUAAUUCAAUGAAAAGGAAGCCAGGGUUGUGCCAUGAUCCCUCUCUGGGCAUUGGAAAGUAGUCAGAUAAAUUGGUUUCUCUUCCAAAAGUUACUGCCAUUAGUCAGAUAACACCUAGGGAAACUUACAUUUAAUGUCUUCACUAAAGAAAGGAUACUUGAUGAUGGUCUUGAAAAAACCAUCACAUUGGAAAAUAUGUGGUAGUGAUUGUAUUGGCAACUGAGAUACCGUCACAGUUGGGUUCCCUGAGGGAAAUUAUUUUGAGAUGGAGAUUGGCAUGAAAGAAGUCUAUUAGCAAAUUCCUGUGGAGGAGAGAAGGAAGACAGGCUUGGAGAAAGGGAGAGAUUUAACAAAAGCCUCAGCCAACCUAAUAGGGAACUCUGGAGCAAUGUAAGAGAGUAUGUGUGUGUGUGUGUGUGUCCAUCAUAAAUAUUUUCUAUCUCAAGGGAAUACAGUUUUUGACCUACCAUUCUGAUGGGUAGAGAAAGAACACAUUUGACAGAUCAGUGACCACAAACCAUGUAGCUGACAUUGUCUUAAUCUAUUCUAGCCAAAGUUUCACAUCUGGUACAGAUGCUGCAGUUAGGGUUACUACUUGGCUGAGUUUUCAAUAGUCCACUUUCAUCCAGUGUCUAGUUUUUAUAGAGGUCAGACUGGUGAAUUAAAUGGAAUUAUGAUAAGGCUCAACAUUCCCACACGCUUUAGGUCUUGAAGGGUAGCACUAAUCUCUGC
Long non-coding RNA from Macaca fascicularis (crab-eating macaque), 4052 nucleotides. The record is from Ensembl. Lineage: Eukaryota; Metazoa; Chordata; Mammalia; Primates; Cercopithecidae.